GACGAACGCUGGCGGCGUGCUUAACACAUGCAAGUCGAACGAAGUGGCGAACGGGUGAGUAACGCGUAAUCAACCUGCCCUUCAGAGGGGUACAACCGUUGGAAACGACUUCUAAUACCGCAUACUCACGGAGGGGUUUGCGUCUGAUUGGCUGGUGGGAUGGGUAACGGCCUACCAAGGCGAGGAUCAGUAGCCGGACUGGGAGGAUGAACGGCCACAGUGGGACUGGGACACGGCCCAGACUCCUACGGGAGGCAGCAGUGGGGAAACUUCCGCAAUGGAGGAAAGUCUGAAGGGGGAAAGCCGCGUGAGUGAUGAAGGCCUUCGGGUUGGAAAGCUCUGUUAAUCGGGAAGCGGUACCGGAAUAGAAAGCCACGGCUAACUACGUGCCAGCAGCCGCGGUAAUAC
This 408-nucleotide ribosomal RNA is filed under the name uncultured bacterium. RNAcentral's name for it is "partial 16S ribosomal RNA". It matches the Rfam family "Bacterial small subunit ribosomal RNA", at positions 28 to 526 of the family's 1533-position model. The record is from RNAcentral.